UACGUAGGGGGCAAGCGUUAUCCGGAUUUACUGGGUGUAAAGGGCGAGUAGGCGGACUUGCAAGUCAGAUGUGAAAUCCCGGGGCUUAACCCCGGAACUGCAUUUGAAACUGUAGGUCUUGAGUGAUGGAGAGGCAGGCGGAAUUCCCGGUGUAGCGGUGGAAUGCGUAGAUAUCGGGAGGAACACCAGUGGCGAAGGCGGCCUGCUGGACAUUAACUGACGCUGAGGAGCGAAAGCGUGGGGAGCAAACAGG
This 253-nucleotide ribosomal RNA is filed under the name uncultured bacterium. RNAcentral's name for it is "partial 16S ribosomal RNA". It matches the Rfam family "Bacterial small subunit ribosomal RNA", at positions 524 to 776 of the family's 1533-position model. The record is from RNAcentral.